This 72-nucleotide transfer RNA is filed under the name Capra hircus (goat). It matches the Rfam family "tRNA". Rfam says of the family: Transfer RNA (tRNA) molecules are approximately 80 nucleotides in length. Their secondary structure includes four short double-helical elements and three loops (D, anti-codon, and T loops). RNAcentral also lists the same sequence under 1 other name. The record is from Rfam by way of RNAcentral. Lineage: Eukaryota; Metazoa; Chordata; Mammalia; Artiodactyla; Bovidae.
UCCCUGGUGGUUCAGUGGUUAGGAUUCUGUGCUUCAUUGCAGGGGGCCUGGGUUCGAUCCCUGGUUGGGGAA